Molecule: ribosomal RNA, 434 nt
Filed under: uncultured bacterium
Lineage: Bacteria
Description: partial 16S ribosomal RNA
Rfam family: Bacterial small subunit ribosomal RNA
Source: RNAcentral
AGCGAACGCUGGCGGCAGGCCUAACACAUGCAAGUCGAACGAACCUUUCGGGGUUAGUGGCGGACGGGUGAGUAACACGUGGGAACGUGCCUUUAGGUUCGGAAUAACUCAGGGAAACUUGUGCUAAUACCGAAUGUGCCCUUCGGGGGAAAGAUUUAUCGCCUUUAGAGCGGCCCGCGUCUGAUUAGCUAGUUGGUUGAGGUAAUGGCUCACCAAGGCGACGAUCAGUAGCUGGUCUGAGAGGAUGAUCAGCCACAUUGGGACGGAGACACGGCCCAAACUCCUUCGGGAGGCAGCAGUGGGGAAUCUUGCGCAAUGGGCGAAAGCCUGACGCAGCCAUGCCGCGUGAAUGAUGAAGGUCUUAGGAUUGUAAAAUUCUUUCACCGGGGACGAUAAUGACGGUACCCGGAGAAGAAGCCCCGGCUAACUUCGUG